ACCUCACUCCCGGAGGCCCGAACUGCUGAGUUCCCACCCAACCGAACGGACACAGAAAGAAUCUGCCCGGCCCGGCCCCGCCCCCGGCCCCUGGAUUCCUCUGGGGGCUGGGCGGGAGGCUGCGGCCGAAAGGCGAAAGAGAGGCUCUUGGCCGCCUCUCCCCUCCUCGCCGUGCUCAGCCAGGAACUGUUUUAGUUUCUGUCUUCCUGGAUUCAGGGGGUCUUGCCCAGCAAGUCCCAGAGUGACCUGGUCACACAGGACCACUAGCCCUGCUCAGCUCCUGGCAGCCUCUCAGUCUAAACUGCACCCUCUUCAGGCCACACAUCAACUCUCCAUGUGUAUCUACCCAGCUGUGGUGCUGAUUUUAAUCCUGAAAGAUAUGUUCCAAAUACCAUAAUCCUGACACUGGAAAUCCUGAAAGAUCAAAAUCCCUAAACCUUAAAAUCCAGGAAAAAUCACAAUCUCAAAAUACUAAAAAUCCCAGAUGUUGAAGUCGUGAAAGCCAGAAUCCUGAAAACUGCAAUUCUAACUGAAAAACAAGGAAGGCUACAUAAGAGGGACAGAAAGCCAAACUCUGGGGAAAGGAUUAGUGCAUUUUGGGUUAUACACAGACUUGUUGCAUCUUAUGAGGUGGAUGAGACACCUAGAAACCUGGUCAAGCUUUUUUUGAGUGUCUGUGAGGAAGAUCCACACUCACUGUGGGCAGCACCAUCCAAUCUGCUGACCAAGCAGCACAAAUACACAGGCUAAUGGGUCUAAGAGUUGGCACAGAGCAUUCUUCAACCGCCUUGGACAUCAGAAUGCCAGGCUCACUUGCUGUUGGACUCCAGGACUUAGAUCAGCAAUCUCUAGAUCCCCAGACUUUUUUAUUCUAUUCCACUAUUCUAAAUUGUCAGCAUUAUUUUUUUUAUAUAUAAUUUGCUCUGCUAUGUAUUUCAUUGUUGCAUCAUUUCUAAUCCCGGAAGUAUAAAUUGUGUAGAGACUUUUAGUGAGCUCUAAUUCAUUUCAUGCCUUUUCUUUUUGGUAAAUUUGACUCAGUGAAAGUGCAGUUUCACAACAUUGACUUUGUGUGUAAGCAUUGUGCAUGCACGUAGAAUGUUGAAACUUAGUCGAUAAAUGAAAGGAUGUCCUUUACGUACAUCUACAUCAGAAGGUAAGAUUUCUUUUUUUUCUUUUUCUUUUUUUUUUUAGUGGAGAGUCUGAAUGAGAAAAGUAAGGCCUAUUUAUUUUCUAUCCACUCCAACGGCUCAAAUUCCUGGCGAAUCUGCCGCAGCUCUCACCGGAAGUCAAGAUAAAAUUUCUUAAAGUCUCAUCUCUGGUUGGUGGUUACCCAUUGUGGGUUUUGAUUGGUUGGUUUUUACAAUGCUGGUGACAGAAGCUAGGGCCUGACAUAUCCUAAGCAAGCAGUCUGUCAACUCAGCUAUACCUUGACCCCCAUCGUGGUUUUGGAUUGAUCUUGUCAAAAGAUUUAGGUCAUCUAUCAGAGUCUUCCAGAUAAUCACAGUUAUAAAUCUUGGUGCACAUAAAUUACCAACCAUACUUAUAUGUGUUUAUAAAUUUUGUUUCUUGACCUAUUUCUUAAUGAAUAUAGUUCAUCUGUUUAUAACCAUUAUAUCCAUACAACUGUUAUUUGUAUACUUUAGUGUUUAUGCUUGCAAAAAAUACAGUACAUUGAUAUUGUCUGUUGUAUUGUGUGAAGUGGCC
Molecule: long non-coding RNA, 1704 nt
Organism: Heterocephalus glaber (naked mole-rat)
Lineage: Eukaryota; Metazoa; Chordata; Mammalia; Rodentia; Bathyergidae
Source: Ensembl